Molecule: RNase P RNA, 400 nt
Filed under: Anaerosacchariphilus hominis
Lineage: Bacteria; Bacillati; Bacillota; Clostridia; Lachnospirales; Lachnospiraceae
Also listed under: 1 other name
Description: Bacterial RNase P class A
Rfam family: Bacterial RNase P class A
About the family: Ribonuclease P (RNase P) is a ubiquitous endoribonuclease, found in archaea, bacteria and eukarya as well as chloroplasts and mitochondria. Its best characterised activity is the generation of mature 5'-ends of tRNAs by cleaving the 5'-leader elements of precursor-tRNAs.
Source: Rfam by way of RNAcentral
CAGGUAAAGCAGAUGUUCGCGGCUGGCAGGCCGAAAGGUGCCAGGUGAGGAAAGUCCGGGCUCCACAGGGCAGGACGCCGGAUAACGUCCGGCGGAGGCAACUCCAGGGACAGUGCAACAGAAAGAUACCGCGUCAGCAAUGAGCCGAGGAUACCCGGCAGUGCGUAGCAAUUUCAGGUAUACUGGGCUCAUUGCUGACGUAAGGGUGGAAAGGCAGUGUAAGAGACUACCGUCCGUCUGGUAACAGGCGGAGCCAUGUAAACCCCGUCCGGAGCAAGACCGAAACGAGACAUAACCCGGCCCGGGUGUCUCAGGUGGGUCGCUUGAGCCUGCCGGCGACGGCAGGACUAGAUAGAUGAACAUCCAAUGACAUAACCCGGCUUACCGCUUUGCCUGAAAA